Molecule: long non-coding RNA, 555 nt
Organism: Glycine soja
Lineage: Eukaryota; Viridiplantae; Streptophyta; Magnoliopsida; Fabales; Fabaceae
Exons: 2
Source: RefSeq, a predicted model, not a curated record
UGAAUUCCUUACGCAGUUCAAUGGUUGCUGUUAUCUUUGCCAUGACAUUGAUCCUUAAUUUCAUAUGGAGUGAAUAUGUACCAAGCUAGGGCAUACCCAUCUGCAUCCUUAGUUUCAAAAAUGUCACAAUCUUCCCAAUCACUUUCACGUCCACUCUGGCACAAAGAAGGGCAAAAAUCAACUCAGGAUCCCGUGGUAGAAAAGCACCAUCUGGCAGUUCCAAUCCUAUAAAUAACUAGAAAUGGUGCAUGUUCAGUGGGUUGAAGCCUAUGAAAAGGGGCAAAGAAAAAGCAACAUGAAGAUUCCAAGCUGUAGUAUGAACUCUGUUAAGGUCUCUAGUUUUGCUUUUUUUUUUUUCAGUGUGCUUUACUGUUUCUCCAGCUUUAAAUUUCUAGGUUUGAUAGUGAGAACGGUAUAGUUCAUGACUUUAGAAUUUAUAUUGCUCUUUAUUUGAUCUUACCUGUGAUGUUUUAGAUCGUAGAGAAUAAUCUUGUAUCCUAUGAAUGGAAAGGAUCGGAGAAAAAUAAUAGCAAUAUAUAUGUUGAUGGUGAGAAA